This 66-nucleotide transfer RNA is filed under the name Staphylinoidea sp. 6 KM-2017. Its description in RNAcentral is "tRNA-Pro". The record is from RNAcentral. Lineage: Eukaryota; Metazoa; Arthropoda; Insecta; Coleoptera.
CAGAGAAUAGUUUAAAAAAAAUUUUAAUUUUGGAGAUUAAAGAUAAAAGUAUUUUUUUUUCUCUGA